GUCACGAUAGCUCAAGUGGUAGAGUAGCCGUUAGCUUCGUAUUUAGCUGAAGGUCGUGGGUUCGAAUCCCGCUCGUGACG
This is a non-coding RNA of Cimex lectularius (bed bug), 80 nucleotides long. Lineage: Eukaryota; Metazoa; Arthropoda; Insecta; Hemiptera; Cimicidae. The record is from the annotation of a RefSeq genome assembly.